AAACCUAGGGCGCGAGCC
RNAcentral lists this small nuclear RNA (18 nucleotides) under Arabidopsis thaliana (thale cress). Its description in RNAcentral is "snRNA_09400". The record is from RNAcentral. Lineage: Eukaryota; Viridiplantae; Streptophyta; Magnoliopsida; Brassicales; Brassicaceae.